RNAcentral lists this ribosomal RNA (409 nucleotides) under uncultured bacterium. RNAcentral describes it as "bacterial SSU rRNA". It matches the Rfam family "Bacterial small subunit ribosomal RNA", at positions 30 to 445 of the family's 1533-position model. The record is from RNAcentral.
AUUGAACGCUGGCGGUAUGCUUAACACAUGCAAGUCGAACGGUAACAGGCCUUCGGGCGCUGACGAGUGGCGGACGGUGAGUAACGCGUAGGAAUCUGCCUCAUAGUGGGGACAACGUGGGGAAACUCACGCUAAUACCGCAUACGCCCUACGGGGAAAGCGGGGGAUCUUCGGACCUCGCGCUAUGAGAUGAGCCUGCGUUAGAUUAGCUAGUUGGUAGGGUAAAGGCCUACCAAGGCGACGAUCUAUAGCUGGUCUGAGAGGACGAUCAGCCACACUGGGACUGAGACACGGCCCAGACUCCUACGGGAGGCAGCAGUGGGGAAUAUUGGACAAUGGGCGCAAGCCUGAUCCAGCAAUACCGCGUGUGUGAAGAAGGCCUAGGGUUGUAAAGCACUUUCAAUUGGGA